AUAUUUUGUAGCGAGGUUAACCGAAUAGGGGAGCCGAAGGGAAACCGAGUCUUAACUGGGCGUCUAGUUGCAAGGUAUAGACCCGAAACCCGGUGAUCUAGCCAUGGGCAGGUUGAAGGUUGGGUAACACUAACUGGAGGACCGAACCGACUAAUGUUGAAAAAUUAGCGGAUGACUUGUGGCUGGGGGUGAAAGGCCAAUCAAACCGGGAGAUAGCUGGUUCUCCCCGAAAUCUAUUUAGGUAGAGCCUUGAGCGGACACCUUCGGGGGUAGAGCACUGUUUCGGCUAGGGGUCCAUCCCGGAUUACCAACCCGAUGCAAACUACGAAUACCGAAGAGUGAUACUCAGGAGACACACGGCGGGUGCUAACGUCCGUCGUGGAGAGGGAAACAACCCAGACCGCCAGCUAAGGUCCCAAAGUCUAUAUUAAGUGGGAAACGAAGUGGGAAGGCUUAGACAGCUAGGAUGUUGGCUUAGAAGCAGCCAUCAUUUAAAGAAAGCGUAAUAGCUCACUAGUCGAGUCGGCCUGCGCGGAAGAUGUAACGGGGCUCAAAUAUAGCACCGAAGCUGCGGCAUCAGUAGCAAUACUGUUGGGUAGGGGAGCGUUCUGUAAGCGGAUGAAGGUGAAUCGAGAGGUUUGCUGGACGUAUCAGAAGUGCGAAUGCUGACAUAAGUAACGAUAAAACGGGUGAAAAACCCGUUCGCCGGAAGACCAAGGGUUCCUGUCCAACGUUAAUCGGGGCAGGGUGAGUCGGCCCCUAAGGCGAGGCUGAAAAGCGUAGUCGAUGGGAAACGGGUUAAUAUUCCCGUACUUGGAUAAAUUGCGAUGUGGGGACGGAGAAGGUUAGGUUAUCAACCUGUUGGAUAGGUGUGUUUAAGUUGGUAGGUGGAGCAUUUAGGCAAAUCCGGACUUCUUUAACACCGAGAGAUGAUGACGAGGCUCUACGGAGCUGAAGUAACCGAUACCACACUUCCAGGAAAAGCCACUAAGCUUCAGGUUUAUCUAAACCGUACUGAAAACCGACACAGGUGGUCAGGUAGAGAAUACUCAGGCGCUUGAGAGAACUCGGGUGAAGGAACUAGGCAAAAUAGCACCGUAACUUCGGGAGAAGGUGCGCCGGCGUAGAUUGUAGUCCCUUGCGGGCGAAGGUUGAACCGGUCGAAGAUACCAGCUGGCUGCAACUGUUUAUUAAAAACACAGCACUCUGCAAACACGAAAGUGGACGUAUAGGGUGUGAUGCCUGCCCGGUGCUGGAAGGUUAAUUGAUGGUGUAAUCGAAAGAGAAGCUCCUGAUCGAAGCCCCAGUAAACGGCGGCCGUAACUAUAACGGUCCUAAGGUAGCGAAAUUCCUUGUCGGGUAAGUUCCGACCUGCACGAAUGGUAUAAUGAUGGCCAGGCUGUCUCCACCCGAGACUCAGUGAAAUUGAAAUCGCCGUGAAGAUGCGGUGUACCCGCGGCUAGACGGAAAGACCCCGUGAACCUUUACUAUAGCUUGACACUGAACAUUGAAUUUUGAUGUGUAGGAUAGGUGGGAGACUAUGAAGAUGAUACGCCAGUAUUGUUGGAGUCGUCCUUGAAAUACCACCCUUUAACGUUUGAGUUCUAACGAAGAUUACGAAACGUGGUCUCGGACAGUGUCUGGUGGGUAGUUUGACUGGGGCGGUCUCCUCCCAAAGAGUAACGGAGGAGCACGAAGGUUUGCUAAUGACGGUCGGACAUCGUCAGGUUAGUGCAAUGGUAUAAGCAAGCUUAACUGCGAGACAGACAAGUCGA
RNAcentral lists this ribosomal RNA (1775 nucleotides) under human gut metagenome. Its description in RNAcentral is "bacterial LSU rRNA". It matches the Rfam family "Bacterial large subunit ribosomal RNA", at positions 630 to 2392 of the family's 2925-position model. The record is from RNAcentral.